Molecule: ribosomal RNA, 1472 nt
Filed under: metagenome
Description: bacterial LSU rRNA
Rfam family: Bacterial large subunit ribosomal RNA
Source: RNAcentral
CAGACAGCCAGGAUGUUGGCUUAGAAGCAGCCAUCAUUUAAAGAAAGCGUAAUAGCUCACUGGUCGAGUCGUCCUGCGCGGAAGAUGUAACGGGGCUCAAAUCUAUAACCGAAGCUGCGGAUGCUAGUUUACUGGCAUGGUAGGGGAGCGUUCUGUAGGCCGAUGAAGGUGCAUUGUAAAGUGUGCUGGAGGUAUCAGAAGUGCGAAUGUUGACAUGAGUAGCGAUAAAGCGGGUGAAAAGCCCGCUCGCCGAAAGCCCAAGGUUUCCUACGCAACGUUCAUCGGCGUAGGGUGAGUCGGCCCCUAAGGCGAGGCAGAAAUGCGUAGUCGAUGGGAAACAGGUUAAUAUUCCUGUACUUGAUUCAAAUGCGAUGUGGGGACGGAGAAGGUUAGGUUAGCAAGCUGUUGGAAUAGCUUGUUUAAGCCGGUAGGUGGAAGACUUAGGCAAAUCCGGGUCUUCUUAACACCGAGAAGUGACGACGAGUGUCUACGGACAUGAAGUAACCGAUACCACGCUUCCAGGAAAAGCCACUAAGCUUCAGUUUGAAUCGAACCGUACCGCAAACCGACACAGGUGGGCAGGAUGAGAAUUCUAAGGCGCUUGAGAGAACUCGGGAGAAGGAACUCGGCAAAUUGAUACCGUAACUUCGGGAGAAGGUAUGCCCUCUAAGGUUAAGGACUUGCUCCGUAAGCCUCGGAGGGUCGCAGAGAAUAGGUGGCUGCGACUGUUUAUUAAAAACACAGCACUCUGCUAACACGAAAGUGGACGUAUAGGGUGUGACGCCUGCCCGGUGCUGGAAGGUUAAUUGAAGAUGUGAGAGCAUCGGAUCGAAGCCCCAGUAAACGGCGGCCGUAACUAUAACGGUCCUAAGGUAGCGAAAUUCCUUGUCGGGUAAGUUCCGACCCGCACGAAUGGCGUAACGAUGGCCACACUGUCUCCUCCCGAGACUCAGCGAAGUUGAAGUGGUUGUGAAGAUGCAAUCUACCCGCUGCUAGACGGAAAGACCCCGUGAACCUUUACUGUAGCUUUGCAUUGGACUUUGAAGUCACUUGUGUAGGAUAGGUGGGAGGCUUAGAAGCAGAGACGCCAGUCUCUGUGGAGCCGUCCUUGAAAUACCACCCUGGUGUCUUUGAGGUUCUAACCCAGACCCGUAAUCCGGGUCGGGGACCGUGCAUGGUAGGCAGUUUGACUGGGGCGGUCUCCUCCCAAAGAGUAACGGAGGAGUUCGAAGGUUACCUAGGUCCGGUCGGAAAUCGGACUGAUAGUGCAAUGGCAAAAGGUAGCUUAACUGCGAGACCGACAAGUCGAGCAGGUGCGAAAGCAGGACAUAGUGAUCCGGUGGUUCUGUAUGGAAGGGCCAUCGCUCAACGGAUAAAAGGUACUCCGGGGAUAACAGGCUGAUUCCGCCCAAGAGUUCAUAUCGACGGCGGAGUUUGGCACCUCGAUGUCGGCUCAUCACAUCCUGGGGCUG